This is a small nucleolar RNA of Acomys russatus (golden spiny mouse), 133 nucleotides long. RefSeq annotates it as small nucleolar RNA SNORA17. The record is from RefSeq and is a predicted model, not a curated record. NCBI's taxonomy places the organism in Eukaryota, Metazoa, Chordata, Mammalia, Rodentia, Muridae. The transcript has a single exon.
CCUGCCCCCUAGAGAUGUUGCAGGUGUGGCUUCUGUGUCACAUGUCUGUCAGCAGGUGGCAGAAAAGAAAGAAGCUGUCUAUACCCAGAGUUCUGACCCAUGAACAUCCCUGAAAAAAAGUGAGCCUGAAAUG